AGCUGAGAAGUCCGAAAUCAAGGUACCAGCAGGGUCCGGUCUGCUGAGGGCUGCUCUCUGCUGUGCCCUCCAGAGAGAACAAAUGCUGUGUCCUCCAGGAGGAAGACCUGGCUCUCUGUGAAGACAUGGCUUGGAUUUAAUUGGGUUGUAAUGCACACAAAGUAAUCAAGUCAAAUCCACAAAUGGCCGUUGAGGACAACUAUUACAAGGAAAUAAGCUUGACAAAAUGCCCCUUUACUAAUUUCUGGCCUGAAAUCUACAGACCUUGCACCCCAGUUGAUAAAUAGCAGAAUUGGAAUUUAAACAGGCCUGGUGACCCAAAAACUUGACUCUAUAUCUUACCCUGAAGAAAUAUGCAAGUGAUAUCAAGCCUGAUAUUGAAACUUUAGUCCACUUCAUCAGACUUUGGAAAAAAACGUGACACUCAACAUAGCAGGUGCCCUAGACAAUGACGGAAUCUCGUUGAAAGCUCUUUAAGCUGAAAUUAAUUUAUGCUCGACAGUGAUUAAAAGAGAAAGUGAGAAGGGGAUGGAAAUUAACAAAUCCAUCUUUAUUGCUGAGAUCCCAUUAUGAUUAUAAGGAGAGAGAAAAAUCAACGUGGCGGGUGCCAGCUGCAAUCUGAUGACCUUUCAUCUUAUUUCUCAUCUGCUGGUCCCAUCAACCCUAACUUUGUAUCUGCUAAAACUCAGGAUGUGAUAGGUUAUAUUGGGCAACAAUGACAACAAUUCAGUGGGCUAAAGAAAAAGUUUAAUUUCUGCUGAUAUUGCAUAUCCAACAAGGACUGGAAGAGGGAAUCUUCACUUUGGACCCUAAAAGGUCCAGCCUGAUUUUGAAAUUUGAAGACAAAUUGAUAGGUGGAAACACGAUUCAAGAGAAGGUGAACACACCAUUGUUACUACAGACAGAAGAUGGAUUGAGGGAAGAGUGGCUUAUUUAAUUGGUGAAUUUUAGAGAAGAAAUUGAGAAUGUCUGCUACUUUUCAUCCCUCCUGAAACUACUACUAUUUUUAGAGGUGCCUAACAUGUUGACCUGCUCUUUGUCUUCUGAAUCUAAUUGGAAACCAUCUUGGAACACACAUGUUGUAUAAAAUGAGAUACCACUAUCUGCAUCUUGUGCCUUUUGUAACAAUAUAAUAAAAUUGUCAUAUAUUGAUUGCCGGAAUCAAUACCAGGACAUUUACAUACAUUUUCUGAUUUAACUUUUGUAAUAUGGGCAGUCAUUUUGAUUCUAUCGGUCAGGAAGUGGUGACUCAAGAAAGGAAGUAAUUUGCCUAAAAUUACAGGACUGGACCCAGACUUUCAGAUCCCAACAUCUUUAUACUUAAAAAAAAAUUCAUCUAUACUCUGUGUGUUCUAUUUUAGUAUAUGUUAUUAGAAAAUAACAGUAAUUCUCUCUCUCUCUCUCUCUGCCUCUGUGUGUGUGUGUGACACAGAGGAACUAAAUAGAAUGAUAGGAAUGCAGCAUCUGGCCACAUCUCAGGGAUGUUAAAUGAGAAUCUACAUUUUAACAAAAUGUCUAGUUAAUCCCUAUUUAUAUUAAAAUGAGAAACACUGAGUUAGAUAAGAUUACCCUUAUGUUACAGAUCAAAAUCCUCAGAAACAAAAAGUUUUCCAGCUCAGAUUGUGAAGAUCUUCUCAAGUUUUGUCAAGCAAUUGGGACAGUAAGUAUAGCAAAGGUAGAGGCGGGUAUUAAUGAUUACUAACUGUCUGCUUCAUUGAGCUCAUUGCAACAGUAGAUGGAGAAUACUGGAGAAGAGAAUAUAAUCAGCCCCCCAUACCCAUGGGUUCCACAUUCGUGGAUUCAAUCAACUUUGGAUCAAAAAUUUAAAAAAAAACAUGACAAUAAAAAACAACACAAAUCUUAAAAACAAUAAAGCUUAACAAUUAUUUACAUAGCAUUUAUAUUAGGUAUUGUAAGUAAUCUGGAUAUAAUUUAAAUGUACAAGAUGAUGUGCAUGGGUCAUAUGCAAAUACUAUGUCAUUUUAUAUAAGGGACCUGAGCAUCCCCAGAUUUUGGUAUCCUGGAGUGGGUCUUAGAACUUAUCCCCUGUAGCUACCAAGGGACAACUGUAUCUGAUAAGGCUUUCUUAUCAGAAGCCUAACCUAGAACAAUGGGAAAACUAAGAACUGGAGUCUACAUUUUUUUUUCUCCCUAGAGAAAAUCAAUUAGUUCCUUCCAGAGAGGGUCUCUGAUACCAGGAAAGUGCUGUUACAUGUGGAUGCAGGCAUUCUGUUUUUCAAGAUAACCGUUAUUUGAUAUACCAGAUGUUAGUCUGGCUAAAAAUAGUAAAAACAGAAAGAACCUCUUCACCUGAGAAACGUUCUUACACAUUCUCAAAGAAUCCUCCUUUGAAGAAUAUUUUUCUACCACAUGAUAAUAAUAUAGGUGGAAUAAAUCGUCUAAAGGAGCAAAUCCAUUUCCAAAAUCUCCUCCCUUUCAUUUGACUUUGAUAUUCCAUUGAUUCUUUUUUAAAUCCUUUCUUGUCUUCUUCUUUUCCAUCCUUCCCUACUCUCACUGCUUCUGGCUCUACAGGAAAUAUUACACAAUCCCUACUUUGCCUGUGCUACCCACCCAAACAACAAUGUCAUUUCCUUAUAAUAAUACUACUUGAAAGUUUAAAAGGUGAAAUAGUAAAAGACUUAUGAGCAGUUAAAAAUUGGUACCUAGUAUCUGUGCAGUAAUGUUCAUGUAUAUUCUUUAGAAAAUAUCCUCAGACCCUAUUUAUUUUCACUUUACUUUUAAGUAAAUGGAACAUAUCUGUGUUACUUGUUUUUUAUCGUUAUAGAAGACAGGCAGAAUCAGCACUAUUUAAGAUAAGUUUUAGGCAAAUACACAAUGAAAACAAUAAGAGGGACUGCUCCAGGUAUGCAACUAAUGGGUGAAAGUAAGAAUGAUACAAAACAAAUACAAAACAAAUAGAACUAAGGAAUAAUAGUAGAAGUUACAGCAUUCUGAGCCUUCUAGAAAGAGGUUGAAAUGAUUCAGCAUGCACAUGAAUGUUUGUAAUGAUGAUUCCAUUUCAUAAAAUAAUACUUCAAUUACAUGUAACAUGAUGCAAUUACUAAAAAAUAGAAAAUUAGUAAAGUAACUCACAGAAGCUUCUAUCUAAAAUUGUUAAAUUAAAAUUUAAAAACCAUUUUUGGUCUGUAGGGAGUUAUAUUUGAGUUAUCUGGAGAAAAAUGAACUUAUGAAGGAUAGCAUCUUCUUGUCCUCAGACAUGUUGAAUAAAACAAAGAUUAUCAUCUCUUUUCUUGAGUAUUCUAAAAUAUUCAAAGUCUUUCUAAAACAUGUGUCUUAAUUGAUCUCCCGAGAAACUAUUUGUGAUUGAUGGAGAAGGUAGCAGAAUAUCAAUUUUAUAAAUGAAGAAAUUGAGGAUAAGAAGGUAAAUUGAUCAAUGCAAAAGCACUAAACAUAGGAGCUAUUAUUACAUAAUAUUUUGCUCCAACUAUUACCAUAUCAACAAUAUACUUUCACUUUUUCUUUUUGUUUUUUUCCAAUAAAUCUCUCAAAAAUAAGUAAACUUCUGAAAAUGAGGCUGGAUGACAGUAAUUUAAUGAUUAUUAUAAUGCUAUAUGCAGACAUCAAUUGUAAUGAAGUAAUUUUUUAAUUCAUUGUCAGUGUUUCUGUAGUUAGCAAAGAUUUAGGGAAAAAUAACUGUUCAUUAAAUAUUUAUAUAUAACCAACCGUGCAUAUAAGGUGUAAAGAUACAUGAACGAGGAAGAUAAAACUUCUGGCCUCUAGGAGCUCACAACUGACACCAGUGGUUCUCAACAAGGGGUUAUUUUGCUCCCCCCAACCUCCACCAGAGGACAUUUGUCAAUAUCUGGAGAUAUUUGUUAUUGUCAUACUGGGAUGGUGAGCUGGUGUUGGAGUUAUUGGCAUCUAGAAAGUACAGACCAGGGAUGUUGUUAAACAUUAUAGAAUGCAAAGAAUAGCUCCCUUCAAUAAAAAAUGUUCAGGUCCAAAAUGUCAACAGUACCAAAAUUGUAAAAUCUUGGCUUACUUCAAGAGGGCAAAUAAUUACAAAACAAGUGCAUGGAUCAAGACAAAUCCCUAUUAGAACCCAAAGGAGCAACAAACUCUGGCUGGGCAGGAAAGAAGAAGUUUCAUGGGGACAGUGUCCAUGGGCUGUGUCUGAAAGAACAGAUUCAAAUAAAGUCAUCAAAGAAAAAUGUACAUUAAAAAGCUGGGAUCUAAAAUAGGGACAGCAUUUCUUGAAAGUUCUUUCCAGGGAAUACCAAGGUAUAUAGGGGCAUAGGAUUAUAAAGGUAUUAAACACACAUGCGCGCGCGCGCGCACACACACACACACACACACACACACACUGUUAACCCGUUUUACAUUGUUAUAGAAGAACACCUGAGGCUGGAUAAUUUAUAAAUAAAAGAGGUUUAUU
RNAcentral lists this long non-coding RNA (4396 nucleotides) under Homo sapiens (human). RNAcentral describes it as "HSALNT0354694". Lineage: Eukaryota; Metazoa; Chordata; Mammalia; Primates; Hominidae. The record is from RNAcentral.